This 482-nucleotide ribosomal RNA is filed under the name uncultured bacterium. RNAcentral's name for it is "partial 16S ribosomal RNA". It matches the Rfam family "Bacterial small subunit ribosomal RNA", at positions 30 to 507 of the family's 1533-position model. The record is from RNAcentral.
AUUGAACGCUGGCGGCAUGCCUUACACAUGCAAAUCGAACGGUAACGGGCCUUCGGGUGCCGACGAGUGGCGAACGGGUGAGUAAUACAUCGGAACGUGCCCGAUCGCGGGGGAUAACGAGGCGAAAGCUUUGCUAAUACCGCAUACGAUCUACGGAUGAAAGCAGGGGACCGCAAGGCCUUGCGCGGACGGAGCGGCCGAUGGCAGAUUAGGUAGUUGGUGGGAUAAAAGCUUACCAAGCCGACGAUCUGUAGCUGGUCUGAGAGGAUGAUCAGCCACACUGGGACUGAGACACGGCCCAGACUCCUACGGGAGGCAGCAGUGGGGAAUUUUGGACAAUGGGCGCAAGCCUGAUCCAGCCAUGCCGCGUGCAGGAUGAAGGCCUUCGGGUUGUAAACUGAUUUUGUACGGAACGAAAAGCCUUCUUUUAAUACAGGAGGGUCAUGACGGUACCGUAAGAAUAAGCACCGGCUAACUACGUG